ACACUGCAUGGUGUGUUGGGAAAGCCUUUGCGGCAUGGGAUGGGGUCGCGUCCUAUCAGCUUGAUGGCGGGGUAACGGCCCACCAUGGCUUCGACGGGUAGCCGGCCUGAGAGGGCGACCGGCCACAUUGGGACUGAGAUACGGCCCAGACUCCUACGGGAGGCAGCAGUGGGGAAUAUUGCACAAUGGGCGCAAGCCUGAUGCAGCGACGCCGCGUGAGGGAUGGAGGCCUUCGGGUUGUAAACCUCUUUUGUUAGGGAGCAAGGCAUUUUGUGUUGAGUGUACCUUUCGAAUAAGCACCGGCUAACUACGUGCCAGCAGCCGCGGUAAUACGUAGGGUGCAAGCGUUAUCCGGAAUUAUUGGGCGUAAAGGGCUCGUAGGCGGUUCGUCGCGUCCGGUGUGAAAGUCCAUCGCUUAACGGUGGAUCCGCGCCGGGUACGGGCGGGCUUGAGUGCGGUAGGGGAGACUGGAAUUCCCGGUGUAACGGUGGAAUGUGUAGAUAUCGGAAAAGAAACACCA
Molecule: ribosomal RNA, 520 nt
Filed under: Bifidobacterium breve
Lineage: Bacteria; Bacillati; Actinomycetota; Actinomycetes; Bifidobacteriales; Bifidobacteriaceae
Description: bacterial SSU rRNA
Rfam family: Bacterial small subunit ribosomal RNA
Source: RNAcentral